CCCGACGCCAGCGCUGACGUCUGCGCGGGGGAGGGGAGGCCACUCUGGGUAACCGAGUUCCCUACCCAGGCAGCAAGAGUUAGACGCGUCCGUCCUGGAAAGUGGCUCGCUGGUGGGCGGGAAGCUUUAGCCCUGGUUGUGGAGUGUAAAUCCGGCGCCGGGCAGACGCUCACGUUCGCAGGACCCCAGCAUUCUGGAGUCCGCUGCAACCCAAGGAAAAUGGGCCGGACCUUGCCAGCUGCUGUUGAUGAAUGGACCCUGCAAGAGCAUGAACUCUCCUGUAUCAUUCAUCCAAAUGAAGAAUGAAAGAAAACAGUAACUGCAUCAUGGACAGCGAAACUUAAGAGGGGACCUGUACAUCUGCAUAUAUGCUUUUCCAAAUUAGGAAUGUCAUGUAAAGGCACAGGAGAGACAGAGGAGACCCCAUGUGAAGAUGGAAGCAGAAGUUAGAGUGAUGUGUCAGCAAGCCAAAGAAUGCCAAGGAUUUCCAGCAACCACCAGAAGCUAGAAGAGAGGCAUGGAACAGAUUUUUUUUCUCUCAGUGCUUCUAGAAGAAACAAACCCCGCUGACACCUUGAUUUUAGACUUCUAGUCUUCUGAACUAGGAGAAAAUAAAUGGUGGUUAUCCUAA
This is a non-coding RNA of Callithrix jacchus (white-tufted-ear marmoset), 631 nucleotides long. The record is from RefSeq and is a predicted model, not a curated record. Lineage: Eukaryota; Metazoa; Chordata; Mammalia; Primates; Cebidae.